Molecule: ribosomal RNA, 440 nt
Filed under: uncultured bacterium
Lineage: Bacteria
Description: partial 16S ribosomal RNA
Rfam family: Bacterial small subunit ribosomal RNA
Source: RNAcentral
CCUACGGGGAGCAGCAGUGGGGGAUAUUGCACAAUGGGGGAAACCCUGAUGCAGCGACGCCGCGUGGGUGAAGAAGCGCCUCGGCGCGUAAAGCCCUGUCAGCAGGGAAGAAAAUGACGGUACCUGAAGAAGACGCCCCGGCUAACUACGUGCCAGCAGCCGCGGUAAUACGUAGGGGGCAAGCGUUAUCCGGAUUUACUGGGUGUAAAGGGGGCGCAGACGGCGAUGCAAGCCAGGAGUGAAAGCCCGGGGCCCAACCCCGGGACUGCUCUUGGAACUGCGUGGCUAGAGUGCAGGAGGGGCAGGCGGAAUUCCUGGUGUAGCGGUGAAAUGCGUAGAUAGCAGGAGGAACACCGGUGGCGAAGGCGGCCUGCUGGACUGCAACUGACGUUGAGGCCCGAAAGCGUGGGGAGCAAACAGGAUUAGAUACCCGAGUAGUC